Molecule: ribosomal RNA, 255 nt
Filed under: uncultured bacterium
Lineage: Bacteria
Description: partial 16S ribosomal RNA
Rfam family: Bacterial small subunit ribosomal RNA
Source: RNAcentral
UACGUAGGGUGCAAGCGUUGUCCGGAAUUAUUGGGCGUAAAGAGCUCGUAGGCGGUCUGUCGCGUCGAUCGUGAAAACUUGGGGCUUAACCCUGAGCUUGCGGUCGAUACGGGCAUGACUGGAGUUCGGCAGGGGAGACUGGAAUUCCUGGUGUAGCGGUGAAAUGCGCAGAUAUCAGGAGGAACACCGGUGGCGAAGGCGGGACUCUGGGCCGAUACUGACGCUGAGGAGCGAAAGCAUGGGGGAGCGAACAGG